Molecule: ribosomal RNA, 1121 nt
Filed under: human gut metagenome
Description: bacterial LSU rRNA
Rfam family: Bacterial large subunit ribosomal RNA
Source: RNAcentral
AAGAUGUAACGGGGCUAAGUCAAUAACCGAAGCCGCGGAUUCGCAGCAAUGCGAGUGGUAGGGGAGCGUUCUGUAAGCCUGCGAAGGCGGAUCUGCGAGGACCGCUGGAGGUAUCAGAAGUGCGAAUGCUGACAUGAGUAACGUUAAAGCGGGUGAAAAGCCCGCUCGCCGUAAGCCCAAGGUUUCCUGCUCUACGUUCAUCGGAGCAGGGUGAGUCGGCCCCUAAGGUCAGGCUGAGAAGCGUAGCUGAUGGGAAGCUGGUUAAUAUUCCUUGAGCACCGAUUUCAAGUGCGAAGGGGGGACGGAGUCCUGAAGGUCAUCCGGGUGUUGGAUAUCCCGGUUUACGAGCGUAGGAGGUUGACAGGCAAAUCCGUCAACGGAUCUCCAAGGCGAAGGAUCGAGGUUGAGAGAUCGAAGUGACUGAAUGGGCUUCCAGGAAAAGCCUCUAAGCAUCAGCUUGGAAUUGACCGUACCGCAAACCGACACUGGUGGGCGAGCUGAAUAUGCUCAGGCGCUUGAGAGAACUCAGGAGAAGGAACUCGGCAAAUUGACACCGUAACUUCGGGAUAAGGUGUGCCUUUGUAGUGUGAAGAGAGAAACACUCCGAGCAUGAAGAGGCCUCAGAGAAUCGGUGGCUGCAACUGUUUACUAAAAACACAGCACUCUGCAAAGAUGAAAGUCGACGUAUAGGGUGUGAUGCCUGCCCGGUGCUGGAAGAUUAAUUGAUGGGGUGCAAGCUCCUGAUCGAAGUCCCAGUAAACGGCGGCCGUAACUAUAACGGUCCUAAGGUAGCGAAAUUCCUUGUCGGGCAAGUUCCGACCUGCACGAAUGGCAUAACGAUGGCCACACUGUCUCCUCCUGAGACUCAGUGAAGUUGAAGUGUUUGUGAUGAUGCAAUCUCCCCGCGGCUAGACGGAAAGACCCCAUGAACCUUUACUGCAGCUUUGCAUUGGACUUUGAACCGAUCUGUGUAGGAUAGGUGGGAGGCAGUGAAGCUAGGACGCCAGUCUUAGCGGAGCCAACCUUGAAAUACCACCCUGAUUUGUUUGAGGUUCUAACCUAGGAGCGUAAUCCGCUUCGGGGACCGUGCAUGGUAGGCAGUUUGACUGGGGCGGUCUCCU